Molecule: long non-coding RNA, 725 nt
Organism: Triticum aestivum (bread wheat)
Lineage: Eukaryota; Viridiplantae; Streptophyta; Magnoliopsida; Poales; Poaceae
Exons: 2
Source: RefSeq, a predicted model, not a curated record
CGUCCGAUUCAACCUCCCAUGCACCCACACCACGCCUCGCCUCCUGUUCGACCCACGGCUUGCCUCCUCAUAAAACUAGAUGAGAUAAUUAUUUAAGUUGUUGGAACGGAUUCCUUUUUUAUAGGAAUACCGAACGUCACCCUUGAAGCUAAUCUCAUCGAUCUAUUAUUCUCGCGCAUGCCUCGCUCGUACGGCGGCUGACCUAAUUCUUGUAGCUUCGUCGCCGCCGACGGCGACUCGCUGCAUGCAUCAGCAUGGAACAAGACGACACCCCCGUUUUUGCCCAGCAGGUCUCCGACGUCGAGCGCUCUCCACCGGCCACUCCCCCCGUCAGAAUCAGCCACAACUCACACGAGCCACCCGUCAAUUGAUUGAAGAAACAAGGAAGAAGCACCUUGUGUCACCACAGUUACCAUGGGUGCAAAGCAUGUAGAAUUCAUGUGACCGAGGAACGUCCAAUCGAUUUUUCUUAAAGUAUAUUUGGUGUCAUGUGGAGCUUGAUGGAAGAUACUAUCUUUUUUGUACUCCCUAUUUUUCUAGCAUUUAAUCGUUCUUAAAAAUGUAAGAGUAGUUGCAUGUUCUGAUCAAGAUACAAAUUCGUUAUAAGAUCCAGGUUCCUGUAGCACCACCAGAGAAGUAUGUACGUUGUUGCCACUUGACAAGUAUAUACUCCUUUCCCAAGAGGCAGUAUAAACUCGUUUAAAAUUCUAUGUAUUUGCUUUCUA